Molecule: ribosomal RNA, 581 nt
Filed under: uncultured archaeon
Lineage: Archaea
Description: bacterial SSU rRNA
Rfam family: Archaeal small subunit ribosomal RNA
Source: RNAcentral
UCCGGUUGAUCCUGCCAGAGGCCGCUGCUAUCCGGCUGGGACUAAGCCAUGGGAGUCAUGGGGCGCGGGCCCUUCGGGGUUCGCGCACCGGCGGACGGCUCAGUAACACGUGGCCAACCUGCCCUCGGGAGGGGGAUAACCCCGGGAAACUGGGGCUAAACCCCCAUAGGGGAUGGGUGGUGGAAUUCCCCCAUCCCCGAAAGUGUGCGGUUGCCGUAAGGCGCCGCACAGCCCGAGGAUGGGGCUGCGGCGGAUUAGGUAGUUGGCGGGGUAACGGCCCGCCAAGCCGAAGAUCCGUACGGGCCAUGAGAGUGGGAGCCCGGAGAUGGCCCCUGAGACAAGGGGCCAGGCCCUACGGGGCGCACCAGGCGCGAAACCUCCGCAAUGCGGGAAACCGCGACGGGGUCGGCCGGAGUGCCCGCGCAUCGCGCGGGCUGUCGGGGAGCCUAAACAGCUCCCCAUAGCAAGGGCCGGGCAAGGCCGGUGGCAGCCGCCGCGGUAAUACCGGCGGCCCGAGUGGCGGCCACUAUUAUUGGGCCUAAAGCGUCCGUAGCCGGGCGGGUAAGUCCCCCGGGAAGUCU